RNAcentral lists this ribosomal RNA (253 nucleotides) under uncultured bacterium. Its description in RNAcentral is "partial 16S ribosomal RNA". It matches the Rfam family "Bacterial small subunit ribosomal RNA", at positions 524 to 776 of the family's 1533-position model. The record is from RNAcentral.
UACAGAGGGUGCAACCGUUGCUCGGAAUCAUUGGGCGUAAAGCGCACGUAGGCGGCCCAGCAAGCGGGGAGUGAAAGCCCUCGGCUUAACCGAGGAAGUGCUUUCCGAACUACUGGGCUUGAAUACUGGAGAGGGUCGCGGAAUUCCCGGUGUAGAGGUGAAAUUCGUAGAUAUCGGGAGGAACACCAGUGGCGAAGGCGGCGACCUGGACAGAUAUUGACGCUGAGGUGCGAAAGCGUGGGGAGCAAACAGG